RNAcentral lists this ribosomal RNA (213 nucleotides) under uncultured bacterium. RNAcentral's name for it is "partial 16S ribosomal RNA". It matches the Rfam family "Bacterial small subunit ribosomal RNA", at positions 121 to 334 of the family's 1533-position model. The record is from RNAcentral.
AUAAUCUGCCUAUCAGUGGGGAAUAACUAACCGAAAGGUUAGCUAAUACCGCAUGAGGCCACAAGAUCUGAGGAUCUAGGGGUUAAAGAUUUAUCGCUGAUAGAUGAGUCUGCGUGGGAUUAGCUAGUUGGUGGGGUAACGGCCUACCAAGGCAACGAUCUCUAACAGGUCUGAGAGGAUGACCUGUCACACUGGAACUGAGACACGGUCCAG